AUGGGAUUGUAUGAGUACAAUAGGAUGCCACAAGGUCUAUGCAACAGCCCUGCCGCAUUCAUGCGAAUGAUGCUCAGCAUAUUUGGGGAUUUGAAUUUCAGUAGCCUCUUGUGCUACCUUGAUGAUCUGCUUGUGUUUGCCUCGACAGAAGAGGAAGCUUUGGAGAGGUUGGAAAUCGUGUUUCAGCGGCUGCGGUUACAUAAUCUCAAGCUCAGCCCCAAAAAGUGCCAUCUGAUGCGAUCCUCAGUCAAGUUUCUAGGUCACGUUGUAGAUAGCAAUGUAGUGGCUGUGGAUCCAGCAAAAAUUGAAGUAAUAUCGAAGAUGUCAAAGACGGAUCUCAUGGAGGAUGAUGGUUAUACACCAUCAGUAAGGAGGAUAAAAUCUUUCCUGGGGAUGGUGUUUUACUACCAACACUUCAUCCCACAUUGUUCCUCCAUAGCCAAGCCACUGUUCGCUCUCACUGCUGGACAAAAGAGGAGAGGAAGGGCCAAGAUAAAUUCCAAUUCUGGCUCAUACAGGAAACUCAAGCCUUCUGAUUGGACAGAUGAAUGUGAGGCUGCUCUAUCGAACCUGAAAGACAGUCUCUUGAACUGUGUUGUCCUCAAACACCCAGAUUUCUCUGAGCCUAUGAUACUGUCUGUUGAUGCGUCUCUAGAUGGGCUUGGUGCUGUACUAUCUCAGAUACCAGCUGGAGAACAAAAGGCACGUCCCAUUGCUUUUGCUAGUAAGACCUUGAGCAACUCGCAACAAAGAUACCCAGCCCACAGACUUGAGUUUCUAGCCCUGAAAUGGAGCGUGUGUGAGAAAUUUAGCCAUUGGUUAAAAGGCCAUCCUUUCACAGUAUGGACAGACAACAACCCUCUCACAUAUAUCAUGACAAAACCCAAGCUUGACGCGUGUGAGCAGCGCUGGGUGUCCAAACUGGCCCCUUAUACAUUUGACUUGAAACACAUACCUGGUACAAAGAACAUUGUGGCUGAUGCUCUCAGUAGAGACCCCUUUACAAAGACAGUUGGUCACCGACUCAUCACAGAGCAGUAUGGUCACCUUCUAGUUGAAGCCGAGGGUGUUAGCCAUGGUGGGAUCCAAGACUCCUUUCGCUUAAAGGUCCAGUGUCAGCGAGUGAAGAAGUCAAACUCUCAAGCUGCCAAGUCUCAGGCUGAUCAUGUUAGGUAUUGUUGUGGUCCUGUGGAUAUUAAAGCAGUCUUUGAUGCCCAUGACCAGUGGGAUGAGGCUGCUGAGGUGAGAGCUGUGGAGUUAAUCCAGUCUGUCCAGGACCUGUUGCCGCCAGGGCAAGACUCACUCUCUACAUUCACUUUCAAAGAGCUGCAACGAAGCCAAGAACUUGACCCAGUCAUUUCCAAAAUCUUGCCUUAUGUAAUUCGAAGGAGACGGCCUUCCAGGCGUGAGAGAACAGGAUUUAAUGGCAAGGUCAUGGUGCUAGUUAAACAGUGGGAGAGGCUCAAGAUCCAGAAUGUUCUCUAUCUCUAUGAGGACCUCUAUCAGAUCUCUAUCAGAUCAUCAAAGACCCUUUUAGUAAACAAAAGAGGCACCAGUUUGUUCUGCCAGAGAGUCUAA
Molecule: long non-coding RNA, 1578 nt
Organism: Betta splendens (Siamese fighting fish)
Lineage: Eukaryota; Metazoa; Chordata; Actinopteri; Anabantiformes; Osphronemidae
Source: Ensembl